This 465-nucleotide ribosomal RNA is filed under the name uncultured bacterium. Its description in RNAcentral is "partial 16S ribosomal RNA". It matches the Rfam family "Bacterial small subunit ribosomal RNA", at positions 338 to 795 of the family's 1533-position model. The record is from RNAcentral.
CCUACGUGCGGCAGCAGUGGGGAAUAAUGCGCAAUGGGCGAAAGCCUGACGCAGCGACGCCGCGUGAGGGAUGAAGGUCUUCGGAUCGUAAACCUCUGUCAGCAGGGAAGAACGGUCACUGUGCUAAUCAGCAGUGAAUUGACGGUACCUGCAAAGGAAGCACCGGCUAACUCCGUGCCAGCAGCCGCGGUAAUACGGAGGGUGCGAGCGUUAAUCGGAAUUACUGGGCGUAAAGCGCUCGUAGGCGGUAUGUCAAGUCAAGGGUGAAAUCCCCGCGCUCAACGUGGGAACUGCCUUUGAAACUGGCAAACUGGAGUGUGUGAGAGGAUAGUGGAAUGCCAGGUGUAGGAGUGAAAUCCGUAGAUAUCUGGAGGAACAUCAGUGGCGAAGGCGACUAUCUGGCACAUAACUGACGCUGAGGAGCGAAAGCGUGGGUAGCAAACAGGAUUAGAUACCCGAGUAGUC